This 465-nucleotide ribosomal RNA is filed under the name uncultured bacterium. Its description in RNAcentral is "partial 16S ribosomal RNA". It matches the Rfam family "Bacterial small subunit ribosomal RNA", at positions 28 to 507 of the family's 1533-position model. The record is from RNAcentral.
GACGAACGCUGGCGGCGUGCUUAACACAUGCAAGUCGAACGGAAAGGCCCUGCUUGCAGGGUACUCGAGUGGCGAACGGGUGAGUAACACGUGGGUGAUCUGCCCUGCACUUCGGGAUAAGCCUGGGAAACUGGGUCUAAUACCGGAUAGGAGCCAUUUUUAGUGUGAUGGUUGGAAAGUUUUUUCGGUGUAGGAUGAGCUCGCGGCCUAUCAGCUUGUUGGUGGGGUAAUGGCCUACCAAGGCGGCGACGGGUAGCCGGCCUGAGAGGGUGGGCGGCCACAUUGAGACUGAGAUGCGGCCCAGACUCCUACGGGAGGCAGCAGUGGGGAAUAUUGCACAAUGGGCGCCAGCCUGAUGCAGAGACGCCGCGUGGGGGAUGACGGCCUUCGGGUUGUAAAAUCCUUUCGCUAGGGACGAAGCUUUUUGUGACGGUACCUAGAUAAGAAGCACCGGCUAACUACGUG